UCUGAUGAGACACUCUCCCUGGCUCCGCUACACCUCGCUGCUGCUGUAGAGCGCAAACCGCAGAGAGUUUCCUUAGAAGAGCGCUAUUCCGUUUCCGCGACUGGGCACUAUUCUCUCAUUCAUUUCUCCGAACAGUGUGUAUUUAUUCACGCUCGCCUCUGAUUGGCUGGCACUCGUUGGCCCUUCUGCAGCGUCAGUAUUCACCAAUAACUCCGCUUUGAUGGCGACGAGCCCGCUUUGACACUCGGCACGGAUGAGGAAAUGUGUUUCCCCCCCCUCUUUGCCACUGACCGGGAUUCGCAGCAGACCCUCAUGACUUUUGUGACCUGCUGACAUCUUGAUCCAGAAGCGGCGUGUUGAUGUGGAGACGCAGCCCCUGGCAGGAAAUGCUCCGGUCAGCGCAGGACGCCGGCAACGUCUGGCGCUAAAUCUCCAGCUGAAGAGAACACGAUGUGGGCGCUUGUUUUCCCAGCCUUCAUCUGUGGUCUGUGGGGGAUGUGUGUCACGAAAGGCUCUGUGGUCUACAGGGCCAAAGAAAACGAGACCGUCACCGUCGAAUGGAGCCUUCAGCAGGAAACUGAUUUACCUCUGAUGAACAUGAUGUGUGAAUUUCACUCUGACCCUGUAAAGAUUGUGUACGAAGCAAUAGGAGGCUCUUUUGGGUCUCCAGAUGAGCAGUUUGUGGGCCGGGUUCAUUUUGACAGAGACGCUCCCAGAGAAGCAAAGAUCAGACUCAAAAUGUCCCGACUCAAAAUGGAAGACUCUGGGAAUUACUGCUGC
Long non-coding RNA from Fundulus heteroclitus (mummichog), 780 nucleotides. RefSeq lists it as uncharacterized. The transcript has 4 exons. The record is from RefSeq and is a predicted model, not a curated record. NCBI's taxonomy places the organism in Eukaryota, Metazoa, Chordata, Actinopteri, Cyprinodontiformes, Fundulidae.